Molecule: ribosomal RNA, 252 nt
Filed under: uncultured bacterium
Lineage: Bacteria
Description: partial 16S ribosomal RNA
Rfam family: Bacterial small subunit ribosomal RNA
Source: RNAcentral
UACGUAGGGCGCAAGCGUUAUCCGGAAUUAUUGGCGUAAAGAGCUCGUAGGCGGUUUGUCGCGUCUGCCGUGAAAGUCCGGGGCUCAACUCCGGAUCUGCGGUGGGUACGGGCAGACUAGAGUGAUGUAGGGGAGACUGGAAUUCCUGGUGUAGCGGUGAAAUGCGCAGAUAUCAGGAGGAACACCGAUGGCGAAGGCAGGUCUCUGGGCAUUAACUGACGCUGAGGAGCGAAAGCAUGGGGAGCGAACAGG